AUACCUUUCUCGGCCUUUUGGCUAAGAUCAAGUGUAGUAUCUGUUCUUAUCAGUUUAAUAUCUGAUAUAUGGGCCAUGUGCCCAUAACGAUAUUAAAUUUAUUUUUUGUGAGGGUGGUGGGUCGACCACAGUAGCUUGCUACUGGGGCCCACACGCGUCGCCUGGGCGUUGCACUGCUGCCCUGGCCCGGCGCACCCCAA
Non-coding RNA from Triticum aestivum (bread wheat), 200 nucleotides. NCBI's taxonomy places the organism in Eukaryota, Viridiplantae, Streptophyta, Magnoliopsida, Poales, Poaceae. The record is from Rfam.